Eutrema salsugineum is the source of this 1821-nucleotide long non-coding RNA. RefSeq lists it as uncharacterized. The record is from RefSeq and is a predicted model, not a curated record. The transcript has 3 exons. NCBI's taxonomy places the organism in Eukaryota, Viridiplantae, Streptophyta, Magnoliopsida, Brassicales, Brassicaceae.
UCAUCUGACCAUUAGUACUUUAAAUAUACCAGGAGAAAUAUUGAUACAAAUGAGUGGGAGAUUGGGUCUUCUCAACUUUGCCUCUCUUCCAUGGAAGCCACAAGCAAGGUAAGCGGCUUUAGACUCAAGAAAGAGAUUAUGCUGGUAAAGUGUUCUAGGCAUUCAUAAUCCAUUUCAACGAAAUCUUGUAACAUCGUUUCUGGGUUCACCACAAAUGCAACGAUUAUGGUGCUUAUAUAGAUCAUUCUCGGGUAUUUUUGUUCUUAGAGACUGAGUAUGACACAGGUCUAUUUCACAUUGAGUAUUGCCAAUAAAUCUAUCAAGGUAAUUUUAAAAUUCUCUGCCUCAGCCGUUCUGGAUCUCGCGCCUCUCAUUUUGCUUUCCAUUCGCUCUGCUUCGUCCUAGGCUUAUUGUUGGCAAGAUUGAUCAUCGGAGCUUACGACCAUGCCGCUUUUAGGCUCCAAGGUUUAAAGGCGAUUGUCAAAGGCGUUUGGGGGCCACCGUUUUCCCCACAACAUCCGACUCGGAGCGACCAGUUUUUUUUUAAAUCCUGAUUACCUUUCUCUUUUACUUUCAGCUGAGCGAGAUUUGCAUGAACUGAACCUGGAAAUUAAGGUCUGAGAACCUUUACAAUCCGAUAAUUCAGUAUUGUUUAUAGUUUAAGCUCUAUAAUUGUAAUGGUUUAUGCUGAAUUUUACUGUUUUUGUUUUUCUGAUGAUCCUUGCCUUGUAUAGGACAUUCAAACGAACCUACUAACCUGAUUUGGAUCCACCUUGUAAUCCUAACUUUGCUUCAAUUAGCUUCUGAUUACAGGGUCGUAGUAGUAUUGAAGUGGCUGUGAUUAGAAUCUGUUUUGGUCUAAGAUCGGUUCUUCUAUUGGUGCCGUGCUGCGUGUAGAUUGCUCUUAAUGUGAUAACAUUGGUGGUUCUUGUCGUAACUCUGUAGAGACGCAGAUUUGGUCAGAAGAAUCGUAACUGCAACUGAACUUGGAGUAAGGGCGAGUGGAGUUCUCUGGGCGUUUGCUUCCUACGAGGCUGUCUACAGAGAUCCCAGAUGGGAACGAAGCUAUGACAGUUAUGGUUAAGAUGGUGGACUUGUCUGUGAGGUCAGCUCGCUUGUUUCGGGAGUAAAAGGCGUCCCACCCGAAGAACACCCAAACGGUUACCAUUUUGUUGCAGGUGGGUAUGUAUAUGGCUUCAUAUGUGUCUUUUAACAGCUAUGAUUUCAUUUCUCGUGGAUUAGUUCACUACUUGUGAUAGAAACAAUGUGAUCGCAUGUGCAAAACACUUUGUUCGAAAUGAUGGUACCAAGAAGUAGACCUACCACCAGUAGAGUCAGCCGGAGAAGAUAAUGAUUCUUUGAGGGGAAGAUACAUCAAAAGAUUUAAUGCUGUUAUCGUAUAUCAGAGUUGUAUGAUUGUUGACCGUAUCGACUUUCUCGCCUUCAUUUUCUCCAUCUCAAGUCUUAGAGCUGGAUCCAUCCCUAUACGUCCAAUUUUUAAUAUCUUUUGAUUUUUGAUCCCUAUGUAUAAGUUUUUGUUUACAAUCUUUAUCUUCUCACGCUAGGUGCUUCUUCCACCAGCCGAUUUGCGGUGUCCACUACUGCCACUCCUUGGUAUGUAUAUGGCUUUCCCAAUAUUCAUUAAGCUGAAAAAGUAAAGUUAUGUGCCUGGCAAGGCAUCUGUGGUGAUUGGAGAAACUAUCAACGUUUUCUUGGUUAUUCUUUGUUUUAGAUUUGGAAAUUAGAUGUUUGGUUGUUCUGACCUGGUUUACGAUUGUGUGAUACUGUACAUAUUUAUCUUACUGUAAAUCAUUUACCUUA